CGCUUGCGACGUCUUAAGAGGAUGAAGGCUCCCCACCUCCCUUCCGUGCACCCCACCCCCCUGGAUCUUUUCAACCGUGAAAGGCACCGAAAUGAACAGGUUUACAGCGUCGGCGGGUAGUUGUGCAGAGUUGCCGACGGGUCAACACGUACGUCGCCCGUCAACUCUCGUCCUAAAUCCUCUAUCAGUAUCUAGUGUUAUCUCUACACAUGUUUCCUGUUAUCUCGUUCCCGUAAUUAUUAUUUAUUUUUUUUUAUUGAUCAAGUUCACCGUGCGAGUUGUUGAAUUGCCUGGCGUCUGAAGAACAAGUUCCCGUCCGAAGCAAAAAAAAUUCCUUGCAUCGCAAGAUGCAUCUGCAUUUUGAGGAGCCUAGUAGCCAACUGCGUUGCGACUCGGUCAUCAAUUCCCUAUCGUGGAUGGGACGCGUCCCCGAUGAACAGCCCGAGGGACACGGAUGGAAGUUGAAUCGAACCAGUUACUAUCAAGAGGGCUGGUUAGCGGCUGGUAACAACAGGAGCGUUGUUGGAGUCACGUUUACGAGCACACUACCUCAUCGCAACGUCUCCAAUUCGACGGGAGAUGGUAAUGAAAUAUCCGGCAGUCUGCCGCCGACUCCGCCACACCUUCCGUUACCGCCACGCACCAAUUACAACUUGCGCGGACAUCGAGCUCAGAUAAGUUUGGUGAGGUGGAACGAGCCGUACCAAAAGUUGGCCACGUGCGACGUGUCCGGCAUCAUCUUCGUCUGGAUCCGCUACGAAGGCCGCUGGUCCAUCGAGCUCAUCAACGAUCGCAACACUCCCGUAACCCACUUUUCAUGGUCGCACGACGGUCGUAUGGCAGUCAUCGCUUACCAGGAUGGAUUCGUUCUCGUUGGCUCCGUUGCUGGACAGCGCUAUUGGUCGACCGUACUCAACCAAGAGUCCAUCAUUACCACCGGAACUUGGACCCCUGAUGAUCAACAGGUUUAUCUGGGAACGUCGAGUGGAUCAAUCGUCGUGUUGGACGUGCAUAAUGGCGCUGUCGUAGCGCAAAUUCAAAUGUCGGAACCGACUAGCAUAUCGCCUGGUUCGAUAUCGAGUAGUAGCACUAACCACACAUCACCUGCCAAUGGCAUUCGUCAGCUGGCGUGGAACUGUCCGCGAUUUAAAAUGGAAGAACCGACGUCAUCGACGCUUUCAACUAACGCACCACGUCAAACAACAUCUGCAGAUGGCCAUUUACUCUCUUCCAUGCCCAAUGGUGUGGAGGAUCAACAUCAUGUCUUGGCCGUCCUGACUGUGGGGGGCCGGUUGAGUUUGAUUAAAGGUUUCGACGACAUCCAUCCUUGUUCCGCGGUGGAUGAUGACGACGAAGCCGACGGAUAUUCAGGUAGUGGAAACGUUCCUUGCUGGAACAAGGGACCACUGUCAUCUCCCAUGAUGGAAUGGAAUAAUGAUGGUGAAUUACUCUGCCUCGGGGGUCACCAUCACGUUCAGAGCUCCUCUGCUGGGCUUCAUCACUACGCCAACGUCCUCCAGUUUUACAACAGCCGUGGCGUUUUGCGAUUCCGCAUCGCCGUGCCCUACACCCAGGCUCCAAUUACAAGUUUUACGUGGGGACAUAACGAUCGACGUCUGUUUGUGGCAACGGGAUGCACAGUUCAUGUUGCAUGGGUUUCACCUCGAAGGAUCGCCUCCUUGCAGCAUUUAGCGCGUCUCAAGCUCAGACGAUGUUUAACCGGACCGGACCAACUUGACGACCCCAUAUUCACUGACCGAAUACCCAGGCUCAUCCGUAACUUGAUCGUUUCCCUCUUUUCCAGCACCGUCCAUUGUCAUGUUCCGGAAGAGCGACGAAUUCGAGAUUAUGUCUGCAAACCGCCACCGGGUAAUACACGGCUCUACUGCACUAUGAUACGACGCGAUGAAGAAGACUCUGCCGGCUGGCAUGGAGUGGACGGACUGAUCGAUCCGAUCGAUCCUGAUGCACCAACCAGCAGCGGUGGAGGUGUUGGCUUCACCCUCUAUCUCGAAUUCCUCGGUGGACUCAUUCCUCUUCUCAAGGGUAAACCAACGUCGAGAAUAAGACCAGAGUUUGUUAUUUACGAUCCGCGAAAGUUCUCCAGCAACGAUAUGAGUAAAAGUCAGCCUUUGUUGAACAAGAGCUCCGAAUUGCUUUUAGCUCCUCCACCUACAUCGGCCAGCAAAUUCCAGCAAUUGCUUAGUCCUGGUCUUAGACGUAAAUUCAGGCGAAAUCGUCCGGCUGCUGGACAGCACUCGGCUGAUUCAGAUUCCGAAACGGACGAUAGUUGCGUAUCGACCCCAAGACUUCAGCGGAAAUUUGGAGGGAGGAAACUCAACAACCAACAUGCUAAUCCUGGGGAUAAUAACGACUGUAAAACUAAUGGAGAGAAUUCAACGCUGGCUGUAGUGGCUUCAAACAUUUGGGGAACUCGAUUCAAAAUCACUGGAUUAACGCCAUCUCUGCCGACGCAUCUUGGUCAGAUUACGUACAAGACGUCAUUGUUACACCUUCAACCGCGUCAAAUGACGCUGGGCGUGGUCGAUUUACGUGAUUCUUCACCUGGAACUGAAGUAGAAGAAGAAGGGGCACCCAUUUCAAUCUGCCCGUCGGACGAAGAAGAUAAUUCGAAAGGCAAUAGAGAAUCAUCGAACCGUCAACAUCCGCCCAUAGUUCCACUGACGACACCUAAUUUACGAUUGAGACGGAAAGCCGGAAUGAGCCGGAUGGAACCCCCACCUUCACCGACUCAUCAUCGACGGACGGUUCAACAUCAACCUCAGACGACACUCGACGAAAUGUUACGGAUCGAGUGGAACUCUGACUCGCGGAUCAUAUUGUCUACACCGGCCGUUAGAUGGCGUAGUCAGAGCGUUGGGCAUCUCGCAAUAGCGUCUGCAAUCAGCAACAAUAGCAAUUGGCCUUAUAGUAGACGAAGAAAGAGUCGCUCACUGGACUCUAGUCCUGUUGUUGGUAGUAAUCGGAGCCGUUGUUCGGGAUUACCGGACAUUCGUAGCUCUUGGGCCGUCCAAAUUACUCAACCAUUAGUUACAAAAGCAACGACGACGGACAAAAAAACGAGCACAAACUCGUUUCGUUCGAGAGUUGGCAGCCAAGUUUUGCAGGCCCAACAUGUGUCCGAUGGCGAAGGUCAUAGUAAAGUUAAUAAGGAAAAGCGUUUCGCUUUGGCCCGACUCAGUCCAUUGUUUGGUCGUAAAUGCUCAUCGUCGGCAGGGAAAUCGACUGCUGGCCGAUCUGAACCCAACACACCUAAUUCUAGUCCAGCCAUAGGACGUCGCCGGAAUAAUUCGUCGGCUACAGUAAAAAAUGAACGCCGCCACCAAUCUCCUAUACGGCAAUUGCUCAAUUCUCCGUUGCUGGCCAGACGGCUGGGAAAAAAUCGUUUUGCUCCUGCUGCCGCCACUGCAACAGCUAUGGAAAGCUCAGACGAUGACAUUGAUGAUCCUCAGGCAACAACAGUCCAUAAUUUUCACGAUCUUGAGUUUCCAAAAAGCUCAGCUGCUCAAUAAGCUACGACAGACAUGGAUAGCUGAAAAGAAUUCAGCAACUAAUGGUGAAGAACGUGAAACACCAGCUCAGACGAGACGAAGAUGUGAGUUUGUUUUGGACAACAAAGCCCCGUUGUGGAACGAGCACAGUCAAGUCUAUCAGUUGGACUUUGGAGGGAGAGUGACCCAAGAAUCUGCGAAAAAUUUCCAGAUUGAAUUCAAGGGAAAACAGGUUAUGCAGUUUGGCAGAAUCGAUGGGAAUGCCUACACGUAGAUUUUCAGUAUCUUUCUCAGCUAUCCAGGCCUUUGCUGUGGCAUUGGCAAACGUGACUCAACGAUUGAAAUAAAAAUGGAAUUUGAAUAAAUCUGUCCAGAGAUGGUCAAUAUGCCUCUUGUGAUAUUAAACAUUUGUAACUGUGAGAAUUUAUUUCACAUGUCAUUCCUUUGUUUAUUAUGAAAGUUUUCAAUACACGUUAAUGAAUGGGAA
This is an RNA transcript of Daphnia carinata, 3999 nucleotides long. It is a transcript of the gene named tubby-related protein 4-like, with no coding region annotated. The record is from RefSeq and is a predicted model, not a curated record. The transcript is spliced from 14 exons. NCBI's taxonomy places the organism in Eukaryota, Metazoa, Arthropoda, Branchiopoda, Diplostraca, Daphniidae.